CCCCUAGACGUUCUGGGCUGCACGCGCGCUACAAUAAUACGCACAGCGAGUAUCACCGAGCUCGAAAGGGCAAGGUAAACAAUAGAAAAGGUACUGUAAUGGUUAUAGAUCCUUGUAAUUAUUGAUCUUCAACGAGGAAUUCCUAGUAAGUAUGUGUCAUCAUCACGCACUGAUUACGUCCCUGCCCUUUGCACACACCGCCCGUCGCUCCUACCGAUUGAGUGAGCCGAUGAAACUGCCGGAUGUGGACUAUUCAUAGUCUGCAGAAGAUAUUUGAAUCGUAGCGCUUAGAGGAAGGAGAAGUCGUAACA
This 311-nucleotide ribosomal RNA is filed under the name uncultured eukaryote. RNAcentral's name for it is "partial 18S ribosomal RNA". It matches the Rfam family "Eukaryotic small subunit ribosomal RNA", at positions 1470 to 1796 of the family's 1831-position model. The record is from RNAcentral.